GCUCGGAUAGCUCAGCAGGUAGAGCAGCGGACUGAAAAUCCGCGUGUCGCUGGUUCGAUUCCGGCUCCGAGCA
RNAcentral lists this transfer RNA (73 nucleotides) under Myxococcales bacterium. Its description in RNAcentral is "tRNA-Phe". It matches the Rfam family "tRNA". From Rfam's summary of the family: Transfer RNA (tRNA) molecules are approximately 80 nucleotides in length. Their secondary structure includes four short double-helical elements and three loops (D, anti-codon, and T loops). RNAcentral also lists the same sequence under 1 other name. Lineage: Bacteria; Pseudomonadati; Myxococcota; Myxococcia; Myxococcales. The record is from RNAcentral.